RNAcentral lists this ribosomal RNA (253 nucleotides) under uncultured bacterium. RNAcentral's name for it is "partial 16S ribosomal RNA". It matches the Rfam family "Bacterial small subunit ribosomal RNA", at positions 524 to 776 of the family's 1533-position model. The record is from RNAcentral.
UACGUAGGGUGCAAGCGUUGUCCGGAAUUAUUGGGCGUAAAGAGCUCGUAGGCGGUUUGUCGCGUCUGCUGUGAAAACUCGGGGCUUAACUCCGGGCCUGCAGUGGGUACGGGCAGACUAGAGUGCGGUAGGGGAGACUGGAAUUCCUGGUGUAGCGGUGAAAUGCGCAGAUAUCAGGAGGAACACCGGUGGCGAAGGCGGGUCUCUGGGCCGUAACUGACGCUGAGGUGCGAAAGCCAGGGGAGCGAACGGG